This is a long non-coding RNA of Cryptotermes secundus, 2072 nucleotides long. RefSeq lists it as uncharacterized. The transcript is spliced from 3 exons. Lineage: Eukaryota; Metazoa; Arthropoda; Insecta; Blattodea; Kalotermitidae. The record is from RefSeq and is a predicted model, not a curated record.
UAUUUCCUACUCUGAUUGUAAAAAUAACACUUGGAAUGUUUGUUGUUGGUUAUUCUCAGAUGCCCUUCUGAGUACCAGUAUUGCUGCAGUCCGCACUGUUGUAUUGUCAAUAGACAGCAUAAGGAACUUUGGGAGACAUGGUAUUUUUGGUUUGGAGCAAUAGUCAUUUUUUUAUUUGUUCUUACAUCAGCAUUUUCAUAUGUGAUUGGUUCCUGUAAACGCAGACAACAAAAUCUGAUUCGCAUCAGAAACAUUUCAACUCCAGCAGCAAUUCCAGUGAUUAGCACUAUAAGUGGACCAGGGGGCAUCAUUCAACCAAGAGUUAAUUACAAAAAGCCACAUUCAUCUUCAGUGCAAGCUACUGCAAUCAUUAGCAACUCUGAUAUGCAUGUGGAAGAUUUUGCAGGUCCUUUGGAUCCCCCAUAUCCAGCAGUUCAACCGGUUACUAUAGUAAGGGGCAAUGUGCCUCCUCAGGGUUUUCGACAAACUACUAGCUAUACUGAACUUGUGCUACCUCCUGGUUAUGUUGACACAGAACACUACAAAAGACCAUUUUGAGGUCCUUGUUUGUAACACAUGUAUUGUCUUCUUUACUAUAAAGCAGAAUUUAUAUUACUGAAAAUUGAAAGAGCUUUAUUUUUUUUUUCUGCCUGGAUGUCUACUUUCAAGAGAAGAUAGUGUACAUCACAUCUUGUUUCUGUAUGAUAGGUGUCCAACCUUCUAAUCAUACAAUCAAAUUUCAUUAUUCAUACUAGAGGCACUUGCCUAUGAUGAAAUUCGUAUCUUUCCCUUCAGUAUAAUAAAAGAAAUAAAUAGAUUGAAUUAUGAAUAUUUAAAUUUAUAUGCGAAGGUUCAGAUUUCAUGAUUAGUCACUUUUAUUCAGAUUUAUUUAGCAAAAAGUUUCUAGGUAAAAUUUAGGGGUAAAAAUAUGGUAUUAAUCCCCUCCCCCCAUUUUCUUGUCCAAAAGUAUGGAAGCCGAAAUUACACUAGUAAGUACACUAUGUCAGAGUUGGCUCUGAUAUUUGGGGUGUUGUGUUUUCUGCAUACCUUACUUCAUAUAAAAAUGUUGUGACAUGAGAGCUGAAGCCAGAAAAGUGGAACAAAUAAAUGUGGCCAUUGCCAGGCAAUGGCAUAGUAAACUUGGCAGUGGUCAAGCUUACGACCGUUCAAGUGACUAAGCUGCCGCUGUAGCAUAAGAUACAUAAGAUAGGCAUGAUCUGCUCUGCAAAGCCUGUAUUGACAGAAAACUUGUGUAUCAUGCAACAGGAAAAAUUUUUCAGUAACAUGAUAUAUGUCCAAAAUAUACACUUGACGAAAGGCCAAGCAUAUUCAUACAAGAGAAACCCAUCUCUUCAUCAGAGAGGGUGUUACAUAAGGAUUAUUACUCCAAGGAUUCAGUUUUGGGGGGAAAAAAUCUCUGGUAGUGGGUGUCAUGGGGCUUGCCACCAAGAGAAACUGAUUGGUGGUAAACUGCCAGUCAUAGAGUAACUUUUACUCUGACUUUGACUUUGACUUUGACUUGAAGCCAGUCAAUAGCAUUUAAAGCAAAUGUCAUUUGGAGGCAGUGCUAUGAGCUAAGUAAACAAUUGCAAGACUUACAUAUAAAUGUGGCUGUGCUCGCAGAGACACAUCUCAAACCCCAUGAGAGGUUCUUCAUUCCAAAUUAUCAUUUUAAUCGGACUGACCACUUCCUGGGAAAAAAAAGGCAUUCUCCAUAACCACAUAGACCUGUGCUAUAUACUCGUAUGUGUGAUACAUACACUUGACAAAGGCCAAAGCUAUUCAUAAGAAAGAUACCCAUCCUCUCAUCUGGGAAGGUGCUACAUAAGGACUACAACUGCAAUGGUUCAGUUGGGUGGGGGCUCUGGUUGUGAGCCUCAACUGGUUUAGUGCCAAGAAGAACUGAUUGGCGGUAUACUGUCAGUCAUAAAGUAGCUCUAACUCUAAUUCUGACUCUGACUCUGAUAAGCCAGUCAGAAGUCAGAGUCAGUAGUUAGCAAGAGUCUUUUUUUGGCUAGUAGGGUGGGACUAAGUCCCUUGUACUGCAGCCACUUCUGGCCUAUUGUACCAGC